GUUACGGUCCCGCGCAACGGCAGCCCGUGAACCAUGUCAGGCGGGGAACCGAGCAGCAUUAAGCGGUCACUCCAUGUGCCGCGGGUGAGUCGUAUCCGA
Molecule: signal recognition particle RNA, 99 nt
Filed under: Oscillospiraceae bacterium
Lineage: Bacteria; Bacillati; Bacillota; Clostridia; Eubacteriales; Oscillospiraceae
Also listed under: 1 other name
Description: signal recognition particle sRNA small type
Rfam family: Bacterial small signal recognition particle RNA
About the family: The signal recognition particle (SRP) is a universally conserved ribonucleoprotein involved in the co-translational targeting of proteins to membranes. Archaeal SRP consists of a 7S RNA and homologues of the eukaryotic SRP19 and SRP54 proteins. In most bacteria, the SRP consists of a 4.5S RNA and the Ffh protein (a homologue of the eukaryotic SRP54 protein).
Source: RNAcentral